RNAcentral lists this ribosomal RNA (251 nucleotides) under uncultured bacterium. RNAcentral's name for it is "partial 16S ribosomal RNA". It matches the Rfam family "Bacterial small subunit ribosomal RNA", at positions 88 to 339 of the family's 1533-position model. The record is from RNAcentral.
AUAGAGACCGGCGCACGGGUGCGUAACGCGUAUGCAAUCUGCCUUCCACAAAGGAAUAGCCCAGAGAAAUUUGGAUUAAUGCCUUAUAGCAUCACGAGAUGGCAUCAUCAUGUGAUUAAAGAUUUAUCGGUGGAAGAUGAGCAUGCGUCCCAUUAGCUAGUUGGAGUGGUAACGGCACACCAAGGCGAUGAUGGGUAGGGGUCCUGAGAGGGAGAUCCCCCACACUGGUACUGAGACACGGACCAGACUCC